ACUUCUUGAUGAGAUAUGCACUUAUCUACCGUAGCUAAAUUUGGACACUUGUCACUUGAACUCUUCAUAACGUAGUUAAGUUAGUGGUUAUCAAGUCAGUCAGUAUGUAAUACAUGCAGACUCUGCAUGCCAAAAGUAUUUAGAAAGAGUUUCCUCCUUCCUUCGCGAGCAAAAUGGAAAUUUGUGAAGAAAUCGGAGAACUAUUUUGUGCUGAGGAUGAAAAAGAAAAAACAUGCUUACGUCUCACGUACAAAUUGAUUAACGAUAACAAGGAUUUGCAGCCCAUGAGAAAAUUUUGGACAAAUAAGCUCGCACUGAUAGCGAUUCGCUCGUUUGGAUGCGAUGCUCAUAAAGUGAUUCGCGUGAUGAAACGCCUCCUACACAGUUGCACCAUGUCGUAUCCUGACCUUUUUGCCUUGAUAAACUAUUCUAAACUUCAGCCAGUUUUGGACAAGAACAUUUUUCAGAUUAUUAACACCGGUGGGAACGAGGGGUGUAACAAGUCUCCAGGAAUGCUUGUCCUUAGGAUUAGUAAGGCACAUUUAUUAUUCAUCAAUUUGCACUAAAGAACUUUAAAUUUACAUAUUUAUCCAUAAGUAGUUAUGCGUGGGUUUUAUUUAUGGUGCAAGCACGUGCAAUUGAAACCGGGGGAAAGUUUUCUGUCUCUUUGGAUUUUCUCGAGAUUUUGAAAGUUUCCUAGUAUUUUCGAGCAUUUUUCGGAAAUGUUGAACAUUUGCAGGAAUUUUUUAAAUAUUUUGAUGCUCCGUUUCUAACGGCUGUGGGAAUUUUGCGGGAUUUUCUUUUCCUCCCCUUUUCCGGAAAUAAAGAAGAAAUCAAUCGAACCCACGGAGUUAUAUCGUUGGAAUCCCAACGAAGUCUCGCUCGAUGAAUUAAUUGCCGUUGGAGUUCUCUACGCUUAUACGGUCAUCAAGGAUUCCGCAGCGAUACAGAGGAACGGCGGGGUGCUUAUCAUAGAUGCGGAUGGAUUUAAUUUUAAUCACGUUAAAGUCUUAUCGUUUGACACGGUUAAAAAGAUGAACUGCUUGCUAAACACGUUGCCAAUUAAAUUUGUUGGUUCUGUAAUUAUAAACAGCCCAAAAGUGGUGGAACAAUUGUUUAACAUUUUCAAAUACGUGUUACGAGCGAAGAAUAGGAAAUUGAUUCAUGUCGUCCAUAAGAAUUUAAAGCCGCUACAUGACAUGCUUCCGGCUCCAGAUUCGCUACCAAGAUGUUUUGGAGGAAAGGUUGAUGACGAGAUUGGACUUUUACAUGGGGUCGAGGAAUUUAUGGGGGACGAUACAACGUUGUCACGUUUAGUGGAAGGUGUGCAAAAUGAGUACAAAAUGCGGUACAAGUGACCAAAUUGUUGUGCAAAUUCCAUACUUGUUGGCACAAAUUGUUUGCAAAAUUUUGAUUUUUUACACCCUUAAUUGGACCUCGGUGGUAUUCCCUUCAAAAUUCCACGUUCUGAGAACAAUUGGCUGACAACUUCUGGUCACAAUGGGACCUACAUAUCUACUAAUUUUAAGGACGCAGGGCUGUAUGUAAAUUGAAUAUGAUGCGGAAUCUCGCAUAAAAUAUAACUACCAUUUUGUAGAAACAUUUCGAUGGGAUAAUUUAAAACAAUUUAUAAAAUUUUAGACAUGGUCGUUAAGAAUAUUAUAUUUUAAUAGUUAGGUACGUACUUUUCUUUCAAACGAAUUUAUUAAAUCUGCCGUGUCACCGGAAAGAAUAAAUUUUAGAAAUGUGAUGAAUAAUAAAUUGCUCUCCAUUUAUGAAUACUGACAAGGGAACCUUUACAGGUGCUGGUAUUAUCUGCGAUAGAGGGUCAAAUUUCAUUCACUUUUUGAAAUUUUUUUGACAUGACGAAGCAUGAUUUUGAAAUAGAAGUUGCUUCCUAAUAAGUUUUAUUUUGUGCUAAUUUUGGUGGGGACAUCGUUUCGAAGUUCGAACUGCACGUGGGCAGGUUCCCUUGUCAGUAGCUUUAAAUAUAUAUCAAACUUUA
This is an RNA transcript of Folsomia candida, 2005 nucleotides long. It is a transcript of the gene named alpha-tocopherol transfer protein-like, with no coding region annotated. The record is from RefSeq and is a predicted model, not a curated record. NCBI's taxonomy places the organism in Eukaryota, Metazoa, Arthropoda, Collembola, Entomobryomorpha, Isotomidae. The transcript has 5 exons.